RNAcentral lists this ribosomal RNA (253 nucleotides) under uncultured bacterium. RNAcentral describes it as "partial 16S ribosomal RNA". It matches the Rfam family "Bacterial small subunit ribosomal RNA", at positions 524 to 776 of the family's 1533-position model. The record is from RNAcentral.
UACAGAGGUGGCAAGCGUUGUUCGGAAUUACUGGGCGUAAAGGGCGCGUAGGCGGUGCUCUAAGUCCCGUGUGAAAUCCCUCGGCUUAACCGGGGAACUGCGUCUGAUACUGGAUGGCUCGAGUUUGGGAGAGGGAUGCGGAAUUCCAGGUGUAGCGGUGAAAUGCGUAGAUAUCUGGAGGAACACCGGUGGCGAAGGCGGCAUCCUGGACCAACACUGACGCUGAUGAGCGAAAGCCAGGGGAGCAAACGGG